UACGUAGGUGGCAAGCGUUACUCGGAAUCACUAGGCGUAAAGCGCAGGUAGGCGGUUCGGUAAGUCUCUUGUGAAAGCUCCCGGCUCAACUGGGAGAGGUCAAGGGAAACUACCGGGCUAGAGUGUGGCAGAGGAAGCUGGAAUUCCUGGUGUAGCGGUGAAAUGCGCAGAUAUCAGGAGGAACACCGGUGGCGAAGGCGGGUCUCUGGGCCGUAACUGACGCUGAGGAGCGAAAGCAUGGGGAGCGAACAGG
RNAcentral lists this ribosomal RNA (253 nucleotides) under uncultured bacterium. Its description in RNAcentral is "partial 16S ribosomal RNA". It matches the Rfam family "Bacterial small subunit ribosomal RNA", at positions 524 to 776 of the family's 1533-position model. The record is from RNAcentral.